Molecule: long non-coding RNA, 2345 nt
Filed under: Salmo salar (Atlantic salmon)
Lineage: Eukaryota; Metazoa; Chordata; Actinopteri; Salmoniformes; Salmonidae
Description: lncRNA (ENSSSAG00000084050.1)
Source: RNAcentral
CAAUAACAUUUGAUUUGAUUUGUAAUGCCUGACAGUCGAUGGUGUGGUGCAAAACCACUGGUACAACGUGAUGGUGCCGGAGGGGAAGGCUGCCAUCAUAUUGGCUCUUAACCAACCAUGCUAUUUUGUUUGUUUUUUCGCGUUGUUCGUAACUUGUUUUGUACAUAAUGUUGCUGCUACCGUCUCUUAUGACCGAAAAGAGCUUCUGGACAUCAGAACUGCGAUUACUCACCUCAGAUUAGACUAGGAGUUUUUCUUCAAUGAGUCGGACGAGAGGGAUAUACCACUACAGACACCAGAUCAGGCCCAGAUCCACGUCAUUCGCUGAAGGAAACAGAGGUUUCGCGGAAAAAGAUGAGGGUGCCUUGUGAGGAUCAGGCGAUGAGUGGCUAAUCUGCCUUUGCCUUCCGUCCUGCUAGCUAACGUUCAAUCGCUGGAAAAUAAAUGGGACGAACUGAAAGCAUGUAUAUCCUACCAACGGGACAUUAAAAACGGUCAUAUUUUAUAAUUCACCAAGUCGUGGCUGCACGUCGACAUUAAGAACGUACAGCUGGCGGGUUAUACACUAUCUGCAGGACAGAACAGCCAACUGUGAUAAAAUAUCUGGGAAAAACAAGCAACAUCAUUCUGACUUAUCUCCACCAUAGAGCAACAACCUGGGGAAUAGUUACAUGGGAUGAAUGAGACAAUUGUAAGCUGAAACCACCCCAUUCAUCGUAUGAGGACCAGAUUGGGAAUUUAGCCAGGGCACCAGGGUUAACAGCCCUACUCUUACAGACCUGAGCCCUGGACCAUGCCUCAGGACUACCUGGCCUGAUGACUCCUUGCUGUCCCCAUUCCACCUGGUCGUGCUGCUGCUCCAGUUUCAACUGUUCUGCCUGCGGCUAUGGAACCCUGACCUGUUCACUGGACGUGCUACCUGUCCCAGACCUGCUGUUUUCAACUCUCUAGAGACAGCAGGAGUGGCAGAGAUACUCUGAAUGAUCGGCUAUGAAAAGCCAACUGACAUUUACUCCUGAGGUGCUGACCUUUUGCACCCUCGACAACCACUGUGAUUAUUAUUAUUUGACCUUGCUGGUCAUAUAUGAACAUUUGAACAUCUUGGCCAUGUUCUGUUAUCUCCAUCCGGCACAGCCAGAAGAGGACUGGCCACCCCUCAUAGCCUGGUCCCUCUGGGUUUCUUCCUAGGUUCUGGCCUUUCUAGGGAGUUUUUCCUAACCACCUUACUUCUACACCUGCAUUGCUUGCGGUUUGGGGUUUUAGGCUGGGUUUCGUACAGCACUUUGUGACAUCAGCUGAUGUACGAAGGGCUUUAUAAAUACAUUUGGCAAAUAAGUCGGGCUGCACAACCGAUUGGCAAAUUGUUGUAGUGAUUCCGUAUGUUGUUGGUGUAAAGAAUAUUUGUUGGUCCGUGGCGUGUACAGACACUUGACACAUUUAUGAAAUUGCUUAUUCCAGUUACUAACAAGAAAAGUUAAAUCCCGUGGAUUGAUGAGGAAUUGAACAAUUGUACGGCUGAGCGGGACAAAGCAAAAGGAAUGGCACAUAAGUCGGGCUGCACAACCGAUUGGCAAACGUACUGCAAAUUGAGAAAUCAUGUGAAUAAAAUAAAUAAAGGAAGAAAAAACAACACUAUGAAACAGAUAAAUGACAAAGAAUGAUAGUAAAAAGCUUUGGAGCACCUUAAAUUCUGGGAAAAAAGGCAGACUCAGCACCAUCACUCAUUGAAUCAGAUGGCUCAUUACAGAACCGGCUGAUUUUGCUAACUACUUAAAUUUUUCAUUGGCAAGAUUUGCAAACUUAGGCAUGACAUGCCAGCAACAAAUGCUGAUACUACACAUCCAAGUAUAUCUGACCAAAUUAUGAAAGACAAGAAUUGUAAUUUUGAAUUCGUGGAGUGAGCGUGGAAGAGGUGAAAAAAUGAUUGUCUAUCAACAAUAACAAGCCACAGGGCAAGUUGGAUGGAAAGGAUAAUAGUGGACGAUAUUGCCAUUCCUAUUUGCCAUAUCUUCAAUUUAAGACUACUGGAAUGUGUGCCCCCAAGCCUGGAGGGAAGCAAAAGUCAUUCCGCUACCUAAGAAUAGUAAAGCCCCCAUUUACUGGCGCAAAUAGCCAACCAAUCAGCCUGUUACAACCCUUACUAAACUUUUGUGGGAAAAAAACUUGUAUUUAUCCAGAUACAAUGCUAUUUUACAGUAAAAAAGUUAACACACUUUCAGCACACUUAAAGGGAAGGACAUUCAACAAGUAUAACAAUUACACAAAUUAUUGGCUGAGAGAAAUUGAUGAUAAAAAGAUUGUGAUAGCUGUUUUGUUGGACUUCAGCUCGGCUUUCGACAUUAUCG